RNAcentral lists this ribosomal RNA (465 nucleotides) under uncultured Klebsiella sp. RNAcentral's name for it is "bacterial SSU rRNA". It matches the Rfam family "Bacterial small subunit ribosomal RNA", at positions 338 to 795 of the family's 1533-position model. Lineage: Bacteria; Pseudomonadati; Pseudomonadota; Gammaproteobacteria; Enterobacterales; Enterobacteriaceae. The record is from RNAcentral.
CCUACGGGAGGCAGCAGUGGGGAAUAUUGCACAAUGGGCGCAAGCCUGAUGCAGCCAUGCCGCGUGUGUGAAGAAGGCCUUCGGGUUGUAAAGCACUUUCAGCGGGGAGGAAGGCGGUGAGGUUAAUAACCUCAUCGAUUGACGUUACCCGCAGAAGAAGCACCGGCUAACUCCGUGCCAGCAGCCGCGGUAAUACGGAGGGUGCAAGCGUUAAUCGGAAUUACUGGGCGUAAAGCGCACGCAGGCGGUCUGUCAAGUCGGAUGUGAAAUCCCCGGGCUCAACCUGGGAACUGCAUUCGAAACUGGCAGGCUAGAGUCUUGUAGAGGGGGGUAGAAUUCCAGGUGUAGCGGUGAAAUGCGUAGAGAUCUGGAGGAAUACCGGUGGCGAAGGCGGCCCCCUGGACAAAGACUGACGCACAGGUGCGAAAGCGUGGGGAGCAAACAGGAUUAGAUACCCUAGUAGUC